AGAGGAAGGAGUUUGGAGGACAAUGAACGCCCUUCGGGGUCUCUGUGAAGGUGCUGCAUGGUUGUCGUCAGCUCGUGCCGUGAGGUGUCGGCUUAAGUGCCAUAACGAGCGCAACCCCUCUCCUUAGUUGCCAUCAGUUGAAGCUGGGCACUCUGGGGACACUGCCACCGUAAGGUGUGA
This 180-nucleotide ribosomal RNA is filed under the name uncultured bacterium. Its description in RNAcentral is "partial 16S ribosomal RNA". It matches the Rfam family "Bacterial small subunit ribosomal RNA", at positions 989 to 1167 of the family's 1533-position model. The record is from RNAcentral.